This 468-nucleotide ribosomal RNA is filed under the name uncultured bacterium. Its description in RNAcentral is "partial 16S ribosomal RNA". It matches the Rfam family "Bacterial small subunit ribosomal RNA", at positions 28 to 507 of the family's 1533-position model. The record is from RNAcentral.
GACGAACGCUGGCGGCGUGCUUAACACAUGCAAGUCGAACGGAAAGGCCCUGCUUUUGUUGGGUGCUCGAGUGGCGAACGGGUGAGUAUCACGUGAGUAUCCUCCCCUUGACUUUGUGAUAACUUCAGGGAACUGGGGCUCAUACCGGAUAUAAUCUCCUGCUGCAUGUUGGUGGUUGGAAAGUUUCGGCGGUUGUGGAUGGACUCGCGGCUUAUCAGCUUGUUGGUGUGGUAGUGGCUUACCAAGGCUGUGACGGGUAGCCGGCCUGAGAGGGUUACCGGGGACAAUGGGACUGAGAGACGGACCAGAAGCCUACGGGAGGCAGUAGGGGGGAAUAUGACACAACGGGGGGAAGCCUGAGGCAGCAACGCCGGGAGCGGGAUGACGGCCUUCGGGGUGUAAACAGAUGUCGCAGGUGACGAAGAGUGAGUGACGGUAAUGGGUAAAGAAGCAACGGCUAACUACGUG